Non-coding RNA from Cinara cedri, 403 nucleotides. NCBI's taxonomy places the organism in Eukaryota, Metazoa, Arthropoda, Insecta, Hemiptera, Aphididae. The record is from the annotation of a GenBank genome assembly.
AGCUUUUUCUCAUAGAAGAGAAGUAAACUGAUUAUAGAAUUGUGUAUUAAUCAGAAUCUAAAAUAGUCUUAAAUAAAUACAAGGUAGGUACUAACAAAAAAAAAAUAAUAAUAUAAAAACCAGUAUUAUAGAUGUAUAAUUUUUAAUCUUGAUCUGUUUUCUCUGUUUCUAUGAAUCUCAUAUCUUAAAAUCUAAUUACAACUUGAGUUUAAAUCACUGAUAAAAAAAAAUUCAUAAUUAUUAAUUAAAUAUUUUCAAUAGUAGCCUUGAAUAAAGUAGUAUUGAAAAUUAAUGGCUUAUACAUGUUAAGUAUAAUUAAAGGUAUUGGAAGCGAGUUUCUGUCUUUGUCUUACACACUUGAGAUAUGGAAAUUUAAACUUGAUUUACACAGAUAUUCAAUGAU